UCAGACGAUGCGUCAUGCAUAUCAAUAAGCGGAGGAAAAGAAACUAACAAGGAUUCCCUCAGUAACGGCGAGUGAAGCGGGAAGAGCUCAAAUUUGAAAUCUUGAAAGGUCACCUUUCACGAAUUGUAGUUUAAAGAAGUGUUUUCUGUUACGAUCGUAAUAUAAGUUCUUUGGAAUAGGACAUCACAGAGGGUGAGAAUCCCGUCUAUGAUUGCGAUUUGUAGCUUUGUGAUACACUUUCAAAGAGUCGGGUUGUUUGGGAAUGCAGCCCAAAACGGGAGGUAAAUUUCUUCUAAGGCUAAAUAUUGGCGAGAGACCGAUAGCGAACAAGUACCGUGAGGGAAAGAUGAAAAGAACUUUGAAAAGAGAGUUAAAUAGUACGUGAAAUUGUCAAAAGGGAAGCGUUUAACACCAGUGUUGUUUUCUGAAAAUCAACCUCUGUUAGCUUUAUGCAUGUUUGUUUAGACCUAAUCAGCUAUCUUGCAUUGUUCUAUUGUUUGCAGUGGUGCACUUUUCAGUUUACAGGUCAACAUCAGUUUUUUUUACCGUAAAAAAGUUAAAGAAAGGUAGCUCAUGGCUCCGGUCGUGAGUGUUAUAGUCUUUUUCCUACGCGGUAGGAGAGACUGAGGUCUGCAGUGUAGGCUAUUUGGCUAGAUACUCAGGUGCUAUGUGAUACCAUUUCAUAAACAACUUGUUGAUUAUGUUUUGUCUAUUGCAUACUCGCUUGUACUAUCAUACCUACGCUUAGGAUGUUGAAGACUCUACAGAGAUA
This 772-nucleotide ribosomal RNA is filed under the name uncultured Neocallimastigales. Its description in RNAcentral is "partial large subunit ribosomal RNA". It matches the Rfam family "Eukaryotic large subunit ribosomal RNA", at positions 18 to 639 of the family's 3401-position model. Lineage: Eukaryota; Fungi; Neocallimastigomycota; Neocallimastigomycetes; Neocallimastigales. The record is from RNAcentral.